RNAcentral lists this long non-coding RNA (693 nucleotides) under Monodelphis domestica (gray short-tailed opossum). RNAcentral describes it as "lncRNA (ENSMODG00000035630.2)". The record is from RNAcentral. Lineage: Eukaryota; Metazoa; Chordata; Mammalia; Didelphimorphia; Didelphidae.
AUGGCACCUUUACAGAGCGCUUGGUUGCCCUGGUUACUACCAACGGGGAAGACACGAGGUCCCACGAUCACCUUUUCGCCGGUUUUGUCUAGUCUAGACUGGUCGAGUUCUUCCUCUGGAUUUGGAGAGCUUCUUUCUCAUAAGUCUUCUUCCUCAUAAUAAGGAUUGUCCUGGAUCAUUGCACUGCUGCUAGUGGAGAAGUCAGUUACAUUCGACUGUUCCACAGCGUAUCCAUCUCUGUGUACAAGGUUCUCCUCCUGGUUCUGCUCCUCUCGCUCUGCAUCAGUUCAUGGAGGUCUUAACAAAAGGCAGAAAGACCCAGCUUGGGAAGGGGGAAUGGUAGCCACCCUAACCUGGAAAGAGGUUGUUUUGCAGGAAGCCAAGGGAAAAUGAUUAUAUGUAGAAAAGCUCCUAAAAUUAAUUUGAUUCAAUAUUAAUUUUCCUCAAAGAUGAAGAAAGAAAAUUCCUAAAAUAGCAUCUACCUCCCAGGUUUGUGAGAUUAAAUGAUUUACUAUUUGUAAAGCUCUGAGUAUAGUGCCUGGCAUAUAUGUAUAUUAUAUGUAUAUAUAUGUGUGUGUGUGUAUAUAGAAACCACUGAUUAUUAGAGAAAUACAAAAUUUAAAACAAUCCCGUAGUUCACCCUUAUUAGAUUAGCUAAAAUGUCAAAAAAAGAAAAAUGGCAAAAUGGAGGGG